Pyrus x bretschneideri (Chinese white pear) is the source of this 657-nucleotide long non-coding RNA. RefSeq lists it as uncharacterized. NCBI's taxonomy places the organism in Eukaryota, Viridiplantae, Streptophyta, Magnoliopsida, Rosales, Rosaceae. The record is from RefSeq and is a predicted model, not a curated record. The transcript is spliced from 4 exons.
CUAAGCCUAAUUAAUUAAGGAAAUAUAUUGCGAUAACUCUCUUUAACUUUCACGCUGCUCCUUCUCUCUCAAUCAAUCACGCUUUUCUCUCUCUCUCUCUAGUUUCUCACAUCCCUCUCACCGCCUCGUCCCUCUCGCUCUGUCAUCCUUCACUCAUGGACUCGAAUCUGCGCUCUCUUUCCUUUGAGAGUGCGUGGCCCAAAAUUUCUCGCCGAAUUUGAUAAUAGAAGGGACUGAAGAGAACUUCUCAAAUGGCAAGUGGUUUGAAAUGUUGAUUGCAAGGUUUGGAUGAGCUGUUGUCUUGGCCUUUAAGAAUAUAUGCAUCUAGUACAUGCUUUCUCAUCCAAGAUGCAAGUGAAAUUCAAGUUUGAUACAUAAAGAAAAACCUUAUUACAGAUAUCACUACUCAAGCUAUUUUGAUACAAGAAGUUCAAGUUUGAGUUACAUGAGAGUUUGGACAAGAGAACCAGGGCAAUGAGAGCUUUUGUAUGAACAUUUUCAGGCAGAGUGAUUUUUGACAUAUGUUGGUUGGUUCAUUUGUAACAUUCCUUCAAUUUUGUUUUUAUGAUUUCACCUAUGAUGCUUUUGUAUAAGCACUGUAGAUAUGCUUUUGUACAUUCAGCAUUUAUCAUUCAAUAAAACAUAACUUCUUAACAA